CAUUUGAUAAAGCAAUUAAACUGAGAUCAUAAUAAACUAUAAAUAUAAAACAUCAAAAAAAUAAUGGCAAGAGACAGAUCUGUUUGCACAUUAACAAAAAAUCUUACUCGUACUUGUGUAUUUCAAUUCUGUGAUGAAUCCAGUGGAUUAGCAUGGAUUAUUUCAUCAUUGGAGACUAAACACACCAUAACAUACAAGUAAGAUUUUAUGCAUCAUGUGUUUUUUGCAUAGUUAAAACCAGUUCUAUAUAGCAGAAGUGCUUUUAGCAACAAUAUAAGUAGAAUCUGUCUAUCAUGACAUCUUCUGGAUGGAAAUUUGUUUAAAAAUAAGACAGAGAUCUUGUUUAAAUAGGAUAUAAUACAUAUUCUAAUUUUUAUAUAAAUAAACUAAUUAUAGAUACCAGAAUUCAAAUUUUAUAUUUAUGCCAGACAUGUGUCAGUUAAAAAUAUUAAUGUUCAAUAAAUAUUUCACACACAGCUUGCUUGAUUAUGGUGAGUUUAUCUGAACAGGUUUCACUGUUAUGGAAGAAAUUACAUUAAUGAAAAAAACAAUCAAUGUUUAAACUCCAUUACACUGUAUGUAGCACUUUACUCAAAACUAUUAGGACAAGUAAGCAAUACAGAAAAAUUUCUUUUCUUAUUGGUUUUAUGAACAAUCUUAUGUUUAUUCAAGUAAAUUGACUGCAUUUUUCUAAUAUUUCUACUUAUUAUUAAAAAAUGUAUUCUGAAUACUUUUUGGCCUACUAUAAUUAUAUUGUCAAAUUUAUUGGUACAUAUACAGAAUAUAUUUUCAUAAUUCAUGCCCCUCCCUUAAAACUUUGUUAAAGUGUUAUUAAGAAGGCACCUUAUCAAUAAUGAACAAUGAACCUGUAAAACAAAGAGAUAGCAUAUUCUUAUUUUUACAGUGAUGUGGUUUACUGAGCCUGUUAUUGUAGAUAUGAUCCUUGAAAACGUAUCAAUCUUUUAUAUAAACUUUUGUCUAAAAGGUUAACAAUUCAGCACUGUUAAUAAGCUCUUUGAAUAUUUAUCUUAUCAGUAUAUCUGAUGUGAAAUUAGCUCAUUGGCAAUCAUACCACAUCAUCUGUUCAUCAUAUUUUUACAUUUUUAUACUUACUUUUUUGAAUGCUAUAUAGAAAUGAUUAAAAUGUCAAAUGGUGACAAUGAAAUAGAUCAUAUUUUUGAUACAUUUAAAGGAAUUCUGUGAAUACGAUGAUAUGGAUUAUGAUUGUUCUGCCCAAAAAUUCUAAAUUUUACUCUAACCAAAAACCUUAACACUAACCCACUUGCCUAAAUGAAAUGUUCCAUAAAAGUUAUGCAUAUAGUCAAGUUCAGGAGGGACUCAUGUAAAGUAUUAUAUUGUCAAUAGAAAACUUUUCUCUAUUGACAUCAUUAUUUUCUGAUACGGGUUAAUUAUUUACAGAUGUUUGAACUAAUUA
Molecule: long non-coding RNA, 1435 nt
Filed under: Mytilus galloprovincialis (Mediterranean mussel)
Lineage: Eukaryota; Metazoa; Mollusca; Bivalvia; Mytilida; Mytilidae
Source: RNAcentral